UCCUGGCUCAGAUUGAACGCUGGCGGCAGGCCUAACACAUGCAAGUCGAGCGGAUGAAAGGAGCUUGCUCCUGGAUUCAGCGGCGGACGGGUGAGUAAUGCCUAGGAAUCUGCCUGGUAGUGGGGGACAACGUUUCGAAAGGAACGCUAAUACCGCAUACGUCCUACGGGAGAAAGCAGGGGACCUUCGGGCCUUGCGCUAUCAGAUGAGCCUAGGUCGGAUUAGCUAGUUGGUGAGGUAAUGGCUCACCAAGGCGACGAUCCGUAACUGGUCUGAGAGGAUGAUCAGUCACACUGGAACUGAGACACGGUCCAGACUCCUACGGGAGGCAGCAGUGGGGAAUAUUGGACAAUGGGCGAAAGCCUGAUCCAGCCAUGCCGCGUGUGUGAAGAAGGUCUUCGGAUUGUAAAGCACUUUAAGUUGGGAGGAAGGGCAGUAAAUUAAUACUUUGCUGUUUUGACGUUACCGACAGAAUAAGCACCGGCUAACUCUGUGCCAGCAGCCGCGGUAAUACAGAGGGUGCAAGCGUUAAUCGGAAUUACUGGGCGUAAAGCGCGCGUAGGUGGUUUGUUAAGUUGGAUGUGAAAUCCCCGGGCUCAACCUGGGAACUGCAUCCAAAACUGGCAAGCUAGAGUAUGGUAGAGGGUGGUGGAAUUUCCUGUGUAGCGGUGAAAUGCGUAGAUAUAGGAAGGAACACCAGUGGCGAAGGCGACCACCNGGACNGAU
Molecule: ribosomal RNA, 726 nt
Filed under: Pseudomonas koreensis
Lineage: Bacteria; Pseudomonadati; Pseudomonadota; Gammaproteobacteria; Pseudomonadales; Pseudomonadaceae
Description: bacterial SSU rRNA
Rfam family: Bacterial small subunit ribosomal RNA
Source: RNAcentral